UGGGGAAUUUUGGACAAUGGGGGAAACCCUGAUCCAGCCAUCCCGCGUGUGCGAUGAAGGCCUUCGGGUUGUAAAGCACUUUUGGCAGGAAAGAAACGUCGCGGGUUAAUACCCCGCGAAACUGACGGUACCUGCAGAAUAAGCACCGGCUAACUACGUGCCAGCAGCCGCGGUAAUACGUAGGGUGCAAGCGUUAAUCGGAAUUACUGGGCGUAAAGCGUGCGCAGGCGGUUCGGAAAGAAAGAUGUGAGAUCCCAGAGCUUAACUUUGGAACUGCAUUUUUAACUACCGGGCUAGAGUGUGUCAGAGGGAGGUGGAAUUCCGCGUGUAGCAGUGAAAUGCGUAGAUAUGCGGAGGAACACCGAUGGCGAAGGCAGCCUCCUGGGAUAACACUGACGCUCAUGCACGAAAGCGUGGGGAGCAAACAGGAUUAGAUACCCUGGUAGUCCACGCCCUAAACGAUGUCAACUAGCUGUUGGGGCCUUCGGGCCUUGGUAGCGCAGCUAACGCGUGAAGUUGACCGCCUGGGGAGUACGGUCGCAAGAUUAAAACUCAAAUGAAUUGAC
This 566-nucleotide ribosomal RNA is filed under the name uncultured bacterium. RNAcentral's name for it is "partial 16S ribosomal RNA". It matches the Rfam family "Bacterial small subunit ribosomal RNA", at positions 355 to 914 of the family's 1533-position model. The record is from RNAcentral.